GACGAACCGUGCGAACGUUGUUCGGAAUCACUGGGCUUAAAGGGCGCGUAGGCGGGCUGUCAAGUCCGGGGUGAAAUCCUCCAGCUCAACUGGAGAAUGGCCUCGGACACUGAUGGUCUCGAGGAGGAUAGGGGCACACGGAACUGUGGGUGGAGCGGUGAAAUGCGUUGAUAUCCACAGGAACUCCGGUGGCGAAAGCGGUGUGCUGGAUCCUUUCUGACGCUGAUGCGCGAAAGCCAGGGGAGCAAACGGG
RNAcentral lists this ribosomal RNA (253 nucleotides) under uncultured bacterium. RNAcentral describes it as "partial 16S ribosomal RNA". It matches the Rfam family "Bacterial small subunit ribosomal RNA", at positions 524 to 776 of the family's 1533-position model. The record is from RNAcentral.